This 713-nucleotide long non-coding RNA is filed under the name Drosophila guanche. The record is from RNAcentral. Lineage: Eukaryota; Metazoa; Arthropoda; Insecta; Diptera; Drosophilidae.
AUUCAGACGAGGAAAGUGAUGAGGAAUAUGGUGUUCCCAGACCUCAAGAAAAGCCUGCUAGCCAGCCAAUUCCUUCCGCAGUUCCUUCUGUAGUGGCUGCAGAUAAAUCUCCACUUAAAGAUAUCCUCAAACAGGAAACUGUUGUGGAGCUAAAGACAGAAGAAUUUGCAAGUUCAACUAAGACAAAUAUUUCCACUGUGGUCUCGCAAACUUCCGAUUUGAUAACAAGUUCAUUCCCUGAAGAUAAACCUAAACCAUUUGACUUGAAAGACGAUAAACCAUUUGACCUGAAAGACGACAAGGUCCCAGUUAAACCUGAGGACCAACCCAAGUCUCCUCUUGACUCAGUUAAGCCAAGUCACAAAGUGUAUUCAGACGAUGAAAGUGAUGAGGAAUAUGGUGUUCCAAGAAUCCAGGAAAAGCCCGCUAGCCAGCCAAUUCCUUCGGCAGUUCCUUCUGUAGUGGCUGCAGAUAAAUCUCCACUUAAAGAUAUCCUCAAACAGGAAACUGUUGUGAAGCUAAAGACAGAAGAAUUUGCAAGUUCAACUAAGACAAAUAUUGCCACUGUGGUCUCGCAAACUUCCGAUUUGAUAACAAGUUCAUUCCCUGAAGAUAAACCUAAACCAUUUGACUUGAAAGACGAUAAACCAGUUGACCUGAAAGACGACAAGGUCCCAGCUAAACCUGAGGACAAACCCAAGUCUCCUCUUGAC